This is an RNA transcript of Dromaius novaehollandiae (emu), 3023 nucleotides long. It is a transcript of the gene named PARN like ribonuclease domain containing exonuclease 1, with no coding region annotated. The record is from RefSeq and is a predicted model, not a curated record. The transcript has 19 exons. Lineage: Eukaryota; Metazoa; Chordata; Aves; Casuariiformes; Dromaiidae.
AUAGUUGAUUUAAUGCUAGAAGUCUUCAAUUGCUGCAGUAUGAUGAAUUAUUUCUUUUUAGUAUUUGUUUUUGUGUUCCUUUUAACCUGAACUCUGCCAGCAGUCUAACUCUAGCAAAAUGCACUCAUUAGGUGAAUGCCUGGAAUGUAACCAAGUUAUGUGUUUAAUCUACUUACCAUAUAAAGAGUUAAUUCUCUCAACUCAUCUUUGUAGGUUUCUUGCAAAUCUUUUCUAAAUGUUUAUACCUCCUGGGUCUAGGAGUGAAGCUGCACUAUGACUGCAGGGAGUAAGAUGCCUCUUCCCAUUUCCUUGUCUGUGCUCAAGAAAUACUUUGCCCUGCUUGGCCAAAGAACUAUGCUGUAAGCUUGCUCGCUCUAUUCAUCAGCAAUGCUUCCAGGCUAUGUAAUCCUGCAGUUCAUGUGAACCUAUGUACUUUAUUCCUUUAAAAGGAUUGUGCUGUUGGUGGCAUUUUAACACCUGUUCAGAGAGUCCUGAGUGGUCCGGGUAACUCCUGUACCAGUCUUGCCUCCUGCCAAAUAUUUGCAAACUGUAAUAGAUAUGAAAUCAACUAGAGAGGUGUGCCACUGAGUAGAAUACACUGUGUAGCGUGAACAUUCUGCAAAGCAGUUAGUUAGCGUUAAGCUGGUUCUUUAAAAAGUCCCACUGUGUUUUACUUCAAUUAUGACCAGCUGGCACUGUAGUAUAGUGUUCAUAGUACUUCAUAAUUCAGACUGCAUUAACCUUUGUGUGAUCUUUAUGAUCUUGAAAUAGUGAUACCCAACAAAAAAUGGAUCCAGUUUUCUGUGUGAAUGAAAGUUUUGAAUAAGCAGCGGAAUUUGAAGUCUUGAGCCUUUCACGUUUUGAGUCUCAAUCUCCCAGUCUGAUUUCGGCCUCCUUUGUACCCAUCUCUGUGCACGUGUUGCUCCCUUAUGGAGAAAAAGGUGAAUUCAGGAUCCCUGUGGGCUGUGCUUUCCAGGAGCGGCUUGGGCCGUUUUUAUUUUGUUUUUUAUUUUUUAACCGCCAGGAAGCAAGGACAGCCGCGGCCGCGCCGCAGCUGCCGCCCAGCCGUUGGGGCGGGGCCGCGAGGCGAGAAAUCCCUCAGGCCCCGGCGGAGGGGCGUGGCGCGGGGCCGAAGUCCUGAUUCGCUGCCGCGCGGCCAAUGGUGGGCGGCGGCGCGGGCGGCGGCCGACCAUGGAGGUGGGGGCGGCGGCGUUCGAGCGGUGCUUGCCGCGCCUGCGGGAGCGCCUCCGCCGCGCCGCCUUCCUGGGGCUUGAUAUGGAAUUUACAGGCUUACAUUCAACUUUCCCACAAAAUAACAAGCCAAGUCUGUUUGAUUCCCCGGCUGAGUGGUAUCUGAAGGCCAGGCGGAGCGUUCAGCGCUUUACAGUUAGUCAGUUUGGACUGGCGAUAUUCUCAAAUGAAAAUUCAAACAAGUAUGUGGUGCAUUCAUACAACUUCUUUCUCUUUCCCUCAACAUUUGGAGUUACGGAUGCUGAAUUCACCCUCUCUGCAUCUAGCAUUCAGUUCCUGUCUCAUUAUGGCUUUGACUAUAAUAAGUUCCUGAAAGAUGGAAUCCCAUACAUGAAUGAGUUACAGGAGAAGAGCCUUAGCCAGGAUCUCUUGGCAGGUAGCUGGAAGGUCUGCAGUGUCUUGGACAGGGACAGGAUGAAGAAGGCUGUUGAUGAGGUGACAUGCUGGAUAGCAGCAGCAGAGGAAGAGGAGACUAUGAUUCUGCAGGAUCUGAGUGGCAUUCAGAUGUUUGAAGUUCAACUGGUUCUGAGGCAGGCUCUCCAGAAUGUUUGGACACAGCCUCUUGGAGACAGAGAGGUGAUGGUGAAAAAAGUGAGUCCACAGCAUCGUCAGCUUCUGGAGAACUCUUCUCAUGACUCCUGCCAGAAAGAGCUCAUUCUUAUGUCUGCCCGGGGCUUCACCAACCUCUUCCAGGCACUUGUUAAAGCCAAGAAGCCCCUGGUGGGACACAACAUGCUCAUGGACCUUUUGCAUCUUCAUGACAAGUUCUACAAGCCCCUUCCAGAAAGCUAUGAGGAGUUUAAAAGGAACAUUCACAGCCUGUUUCCUGUCCUCAUAGACACCAAGACUGUAACAAAAUCUGUCUGGAAGAAAUACCCAUUUCCUCGAGUAUCUAAUCUUUUGGAGGUGUAUGAAGUUCUGUGCAGCAGCGACCUAAAUCCCACAGAUCCAACCUGCCCAGUGAUUGUUCUUGCAAGUGACUGCUCAAGAUAUGCAGAGAAGACUCCUCAUGAGGCAGGCUAUGAUGCAUUUCUUUGUGGCUCAGUUCUUCUGAAAGUAGCUCACUUGCUACUGUGCAAAUCGACAGGUGUCACAGCAGAGGCUGAUCCUUCUUUCUCUGAGUAUCUCAGCGCAUUAGUCAAGUAUCUGAACAAGGUGCAUGUCAUCCAAGGUGGCGUUUCAAGCAUUAAUUUUUCUGGGGUAGAUGCUUCUUGCCGACGUCCCCCUCUCUUGGUUGUCCACGUCCGAGGUUGGCGAGGGCUGAAUGAAAGGCAUAUUUACCAAGAGUUAAAAGGUCUUUGUCAGUUUGAUGUUAAACGUCUUUCAGAGAACCAGUUCAUUUUGCUCUCCAGUAAAUUUAAGCAUGCCAGGCUUGCUCUGCGAGAUUAUAAAGAUCACCCUAAUCUGCAGAUUUCUCUUUAUCGCCACUGGAGGCACUCUCCACACGUGAACUGCCUGUUGCAGUAAGUUACAGCAAUGACACGAUGGUGAGGGGAAAGCACUUUCUGCAGAGUGCCAGAGCCCAGGCACAGAAGCAGCCUGCCUCUCUUCUGCAGUGUCCUUCUGGAGAACAAGGGAUUCGGGAGCAGAGUCUCCAGUAUUGUGGCACUGUGGUCUCUCUUUGCCUUUGUACUCGGAGGAGCUCCUUGCCAUUCAGUGUAAAGGAUUGUUUUAUGGAUGAGAACUGAGGAACACUGAUCUUAUUUUCCGUCUGUUUGUCUAUGUUUUGUUUUGUUUUUCUUGCACAAUAAAGUAUGAGCAGUAACAAGGUA